UUUUAAAAGCAAAGUUCUUUAUCAUUUUCCCUAAUAAGUUCAAAAAAAUAACAAAAAUGAAGUUGAUUCAUAUCCUUGUUCUUCUAUGCUUCAUUCUCCUCUGUGCUACAUCCUCUGGGAGAAAUUUGGAGAGGAAAUGCACUGAUACAUUGAUAUAUGUGCCAAUAAAAAUGGAGAAUUGUGAGAUAGGGAAAUGUAUGGUCACUUGUGGAAAGACUUAUGAAGGCACUGUUUUUGGAGAGUGCCCAAAUCCUGAUACUUGCUUUUGUGGUAUUUAUAGAUGUAUUCUUGUUUAAUUUGUAUUAAUAAAAUAAAAAAAAUUCUCAAUCAAAAUAAGAAAUUAAUCUCAAUUUGACA
This is a long non-coding RNA of Solanum lycopersicum (tomato), 357 nucleotides long. RefSeq lists it as uncharacterized. NCBI's taxonomy places the organism in Eukaryota, Viridiplantae, Streptophyta, Magnoliopsida, Solanales, Solanaceae. The record is from RefSeq and is a predicted model, not a curated record.